This 435-nucleotide ribosomal RNA is filed under the name uncultured eukaryote. Its description in RNAcentral is "bacterial SSU rRNA". It matches the Rfam family "Eukaryotic small subunit ribosomal RNA", at positions 8 to 421 of the family's 1831-position model. The record is from RNAcentral.
UUGAUCCUGACGGUAGUCGUAUGCUCGUCUCCGAGACUAAGCCAUGCAAGUCCAAGUACACGUCCUUGAACGACGGAAACUGCGAACGGCUCAUUAAAUCAGUUGCGAUCUACUCGGCGUUCCGCGCCGCCGGAUAACCGUAGUAAUUCUAGGGCUAAUACGUGCGAAGCGCCCGAAGCCGCGAGGCGACGGGCGUUCUCGCCGGAUGUAGGAACCGACCCGGGGACCGCCGGGGCAACCCGGCGCCCCCGAGACGGGGCGAACCACGGUGAAAUGACGGAUCGUCGGCCCCGCGCCGGCGACUCGCCGAAUGAGUUUCUGACCUAUCAACUCGAGACGGGCGGGGUAGAGGCCCCGCCGCGGUAACGACGGGUAACGGGAAUCAGGGUUCGAUUCCGGAGAGGGACGCCCGAGAAACGGCUACCACUUCCAAGG